GGCUCAGGACGAACGCUGGCGGCGUGCUUACACAUGCAAGUCGAGCGGAAAGGCCCUUCGGGGUACUCGAGCGGCGAACGGGUGAGUAACACGUGAGCAACCUGCCCUUAGCUUUGGGAUAACCCUCGGAAACGGGGGCUAAUACCGAAUGUUCACUGUCUGACGCAUGUUGGGCGGUGGAAAGUUUUUCGGCUGGGGAUGGGCUCGCGGCCUAUCAGCUUGUUGGUGGGGUGAUGGCCUACCAAGGCGACGACGGGUAGCCGGCCUGAGAGGGCGACCGGCCACACUGGGACUGAGACACGGCCCAGACUCCUACGGGAGGCAGCAGUGGGAAUAUUGCACAAUGGGCGAAAGCCCGAUGCAGCGACGCCGCGUGAGGGAUGACGGCCUUCGGGUUGUAAACCUCUUUCAGCAGGGACGAAGCGAAAGUGACGGUACCUGCAGAAGAAGCGCCGGCCAACUACGUGCCAGCAGCCGCGGUAAGACGUAGGGCGCAAGCGUUGUCCGGAUUUAUUGGGCGUAAAGAGCUCGUAGGCGGCUUGUUGCGUCGACUGUGAAAACCCGCGGCUCAACCGUGUGGUCUGCAGUCGAUACGGGCAGGCUAGAGUUCGGUAGGGGAGACUGGAAUUCCUGGUGUAGCGGUGAAAUGCGCAGAUAUCAGGAGGAACACCGGUGGCGAAGGCGGGUCUCUGGGCCGAUACUGACGCUGAGGAGCGAAAGCGUGGGGAGCGAACAGGAUUAGAUACCCUGGUAGUCCACGCUGUAAACGUUGGGCGCUAGGUGUGGGGGACCUCUCCGGUUCUCUGCGCCGCAGCUAACGCAUUAAGCGCCCCGCCUGGGGAGUACGGCCGCAGGCUAAAACUCAAAU
Molecule: ribosomal RNA, 868 nt
Filed under: uncultured bacterium
Lineage: Bacteria
Description: bacterial SSU rRNA
Rfam family: Bacterial small subunit ribosomal RNA
Source: RNAcentral